RNAcentral lists this ribosomal RNA (295 nucleotides) under uncultured bacterium. RNAcentral's name for it is "partial 16S ribosomal RNA". It matches the Rfam family "Bacterial small subunit ribosomal RNA", at positions 333 to 627 of the family's 1533-position model. The record is from RNAcentral.
GGAUACCUACGGGGCGCAGCAGUGAGGAAUAUUGGUCAAUGGCCGAGAGGCUGAACCAGCCAAAUCGCGUGAGGGAUGACGGCCCUACGGGUUGUAACCCUCUUUUGCCGGGGAGCAAAGAGCGGGACGCGUCCCGCCUCGAGAGUACCCGGAGAAAAAGCAUCGGCUAACUCCGUGCCAGCAGCCGCGGUAAUACGGAGGAUGCGAGCGUUAUCCGGAUUUAUUGGGUUUAAAGGGUGCGCAGGCGGACGCGCAAGUCAGCGGUAAAGUGAGAGGCUCCACCUCUUCCCGCCGU